RNAcentral lists this ribosomal RNA (431 nucleotides) under Eucobresia diaphana. Its description in RNAcentral is "partial large subunit ribosomal RNA". It matches the Rfam family "Archaeal large subunit ribosomal RNA", at positions 1936 to 2667 of the family's 2987-position model. Lineage: Eukaryota; Metazoa; Mollusca; Gastropoda; Stylommatophora; Vitrinidae. The record is from RNAcentral.
UAUAUAAAGUGAAACCUGCCCAGUGAUAUAAUUUUUAACGGCCGCAGUACCUUGACUGUGCUAAGGUAGCAUAAUAAAUUGACUUUUAAUUGAAGCCUUGUAUGAAAGGAAUAAUGGAUUGUUACUGUCUCUAAAUAUAAUUUAUUUUAAGUUACUUAGAAGGUGCAAAUACCUUUAAUUAUUUAAUAGACGAGAAGACCCUAGGAGUUUAUUUAACAAAUAAUUUGAAAUAUUUUGUUGGGGCGACAUUACAGCAGAAAUUAUUUAACCUGUAAAUAUUAAUUUAAUUUAACGAAAAUUUUUAAUUAUGAUUAAACUACCCUAGGGAUAACAGCAUAAUUUAUUUUUAAGUUUGUGACCUCGAUGUUGGACUAGGAAUUUUUAAUAUUAACAGUAUUAAAACAAUGUUCUGUUCGAACAAUAUUUCCUAC